This 314-nucleotide ribosomal RNA is filed under the name Rhodosorus marinus. Its description in RNAcentral is "partial Bacterial small subunit ribosomal RNA". It matches the Rfam family "Bacterial small subunit ribosomal RNA", at positions 1026 to 1340 of the family's 1533-position model. Lineage: Eukaryota; Rhodophyta; Stylonematophyceae; Stylonematales; Stylonemataceae. The record is from RNAcentral.
GAACGUCGAUAGGUGCUGCAUGGCUGUCGUCAGCUCGUGCUGUGAAGUGUCGGGUUAAGUCCCUUAACGAGCGCAACCCUUAUCGCUAGUUGCCAGCGAGUCAUGUCGGGGACUCUAGCGAGACUGCCGGUGUCAAACCGGAGGAAGGUGGGGAUGACGUCAAGUCCGCAUGGCCUUUAUGUCCAGGGCUGCACACGUGCUACAAUGGUCGGUACAGAACGAUGCAAUACCGCAAGGUGGAGCAAAUCGCAAAAGCCGGCCCCAGUUCGGAUUGCAGGCUGCAACUCGCCUGCAUGAAGUUGGAAUCGCUAGUA